This 1237-nucleotide long non-coding RNA is filed under the name Macaca fascicularis (crab-eating macaque). Its description in RNAcentral is "lncRNA (ENSMFAG00000061893.1)". The record is from RNAcentral. Lineage: Eukaryota; Metazoa; Chordata; Mammalia; Primates; Cercopithecidae.
ACUGGGAACAUUAGCACACAGCAGGACCUUUCCUAUGUAGACACAGUGCAGAUUUGAUCUGUGGUGCAGCCAAACUAAAACACAGGUCAUGGAUUGUUUCCCCACUUUUGGUACGAACAAGCCCUUAAUCAAUAUCUAAUCUAGGGACGGUAACAUUGGCUAUUUGAGUGCAGGCACCCUAGGUUGUUAAUGUCUGUUUCCCAACACUAUACCAUUCCAACAUUUUUCUUUACCUAAAGUGGGAUAAUGAUCAUUAAAAAAGAACACAAUAAUUUUCCUUACAACACUGCUGAUAACUAAUAAUCACACAGUUGCAUGUAAGUUAAUUCUUUAAAUUUAAUCAGUCAUUUAUAAAACUCCCCAAUUAGUAAAAGUUGGCUUAUUUUAAUAGCCUUAAACAUUGGCUGCUAUUUAAACAAGACAUUCUAAAAAAAAAAAAAAAAAAAGGCAAUCACAUAAUAGUUUAUAGUAAUUUACAAGUGAUGGUAUACAUUUAGAUACAGAGGUAGAAGUUCACUUUUACAAUGUUUCACUAAUACACAUAUACCAAAUUCAAGGCACAAAAUAGUUUGCUUUACAAAAAAAUACUGUAAAAAUGUCAUUUGCUGUUCUACAACGUGAAUAAAACUUUCAAAAGAAUCUUUACACCUUUCCAUACAUAUGCCAUAGAAUAAGAUUUCUCCCUCUCACUCAUUAUAGUUGGCACAAAAAUGGGGACUUUUCAAUGUAGAAGUUCUCAUUCUUAAAAACUGUUUCUUUGCAGAGCUGCUAUGUAUUCUAGGUAAGAGUCCAUCCAAAGAAACGAAACACAGCAACUUCCUGAGGGAAGGGCACUUUCUGUAUGCAGCAAAAUUCAUAGGUAGAAAAUGGAUGAUCUUUUAGGAUAAUUAGGUCUCCAGACACUUAAUGAAGUAUUUCAGAGAUAAAAUUAAAAAUUCAAGGCUGGGCGCUGUGGCUCAUGCCUGUAAUCCCAGCACUUUGUGGGGCUGAGGCGGUGGAUCACGAUGUCAAGAGAUGAAGACAAUCGUGACCAACAUGGUGAAACCCCAUCUCUACUAAAAAUAUAAAAAUUAGCUGGGCAUGGUGGCACGUGCUUGUAGCCCCAGCUACUCAGGAGGCUGAGAAGGGAGAAUCACUUGAACCUGUGAGGCAGAGACUGCAGUGAGCCGAGUUUGUGCUACUGGACUCCAGCCUGGUACAGAGCGAGACUCUGUCUCAAAAAAAAAAAAAAAAAAAA